Non-coding RNA from Microcebus murinus (gray mouse lemur), 4918 nucleotides. NCBI's taxonomy places the organism in Eukaryota, Metazoa, Chordata, Mammalia, Primates, Cheirogaleidae. The record is from RefSeq and is a predicted model, not a curated record.
AAUCAGGAUCACACGAGCAGCUGGGUGGAAGCAGGCGGUGGCAGGAGGGCCUGGCUCGGCACACGGGGCCCGGCAGCACCACUGAGGGUUCCCAACAGUGUGCCCUUCAACCGCCCGUGCAGCGCUGGCCCAUGGGGAUGCUGAGCGAUGAGGAGGUGGCAAGCGGCCACGCCCAGCAUCUGACGUUUUCCGCAUCACCACCACCAGCACCACCAGCACAACCUGGCCCCUGAUGAAUAUUCUCCCUUAUUCUGCUACAGUCCAAGAAGGGCUUGGACACAGACUGACAGCCACAUAGAAACAAAGGACCUGCUUUUUUGCUGAAGCCAACCUGCUUAUUAUAGUGGUCCAUCCCAUCAUCCUGGGUCCUACAUUGAAUCCAUCCCAAGGCUCAGUUUUCUACUCCCUUGUGAAUGAAGGGAGUUCUUGGGUAGCGGAGCCCUCACCUACUGCUGAUCUCUGAGACUCAGGGUCCUCUGCAGACAGGCAUGGAUGACACCUUGACCAAGUCACACAGAAGAGCCUGGAGUAGUUCUAGGGAGCAAGGAAUGUGGACACAGACAGUGGAAGACUCUGGAAAUUACAAAGCUUCUAGCACAUUCAGGGUGGCUCUUUAGUGUGUCAGUAGAUUCUAGCAUGGACAAUGAGGCUGCCCCUUCUGCUUAGAGAAUGGCCCAAGGUUCUGCCUCCUGCCCUGACUCAACUGUUGCCUCAUCUGGAUUCUCUUCUGCAACCUCCUACUAGAUUUCCUGUACAGAAAGAGGAUUUCUGCCCAGCCAUCAAGCUUGACCACUCAUUGGAAAUUGGCCACUAAUGAGAUCUACUACAUAGUCUGAGGUCUGGCUUCCCAUAAGGUGACCCCCUCAAGUUGGUCUUCUCCAGCCCCUACUCUGCAGCUUCAGACAAGUAUGAGCCUGCACCCUGAUUCCCACCUUCCUGCCACCACAUGAGGAAGGUCCCCAAAACAUGACGCCUUGGCAACAACACAGUGACACAGCACUAACAACCCCCUAGAGUGGAGUGCCUAGCAAGAGCCCAGCUCUGUGCUAAACAUGCUUUUGGAUUAGAUCAUUCAUCUUUUAAUUGCCACAGUAAGGACAUGAAGUUAAGUCUUGAAAUUUUAUUUAUUUAUUUUUUUCUCCAUCUUCUCAGAAAUUAUUGCCAACUGUAAAGUGAGAAAAAUGAGACUCAGAGAUGUCAAAGAGUUUGUUCGAAGUCUCACAGCCAAUGAGCAGAAGAACUAGCUGAGUUAGUCUGAAUCUCAUGAAAGCCGGUGGUGUGGAGAUUGGGUGGGAUUCCUGGGUAUCACCUGCCUAGAAACUGCAAUGUGAGGAAUGGAAAGGAUCAUCUAAGGGAGAAGCCGGACCAAACACCAUCUGAGUCCCAGCCCUUCAGGUCCCCACCAGUCUUAAGCAAUGCUUUGAGGACGUUUGUCCAGGAAAAGUUCAAUAGGUAAUAUGUGACCUUUUAACAUUAGAUUCCUGGAGACAAUGCCCCGCUUCUCUUGUAGAACCCAUAUGAGCACGACUUGGAAGAUGUCCUAGGCAAGCUCUGGAGAGAUGUCACCAGGAAGAAAGAAGGAAGACAUCUCAAGAUUCAUAGGACCUGGGUAGCCUUUAUGCAGGUCCACUGUUGACAGUGGCUCACUCUCAGUGCCUGUCAGCCUGGCCUGAAGCACUUGUCACCUUGGACAAGUGUUCUUAUCUCUUCCUCUGUUUAAUGAAGAAACUGAAUUGAAUUCCUACUUUCAAUACUCUAAGGAUCAUGGAACCCUUUCUUUUAGACAAAGAUUAUGCAGAAAAUAAGGGCCAAAAAAAACCCCAAAGCUGCUGUGAUCAUCGAAGUGUGGCAGAUGGCCUGGAGGGAGAUUCCACCUGGCACAGCUUUCAACUACCAACUGACACCACCUCUAAGGGUCUUUCGAGUUUUAGCAUUCUCUGAGCUGAGCAAAGGAAUGUGCUCAUGCAUUUCUCCCAAUGAAGACCGGAUGUGGAGGAGGCAGCUAAGGGCAGAAGGAAGGCAAACAAAAAGUUAUAUAAUCAACCAAGUGGAUAAUGGGUCCUAGCAUGCAUCAACAUUAAUAGAACUCCACUGACACACUUCCCUCAGCUUAGUGACUAAGGAUUGGUGAAUAACCCAGGGACUUUCACUCUUCACCCAAGGCUCCAUGAAAUGCUUUUUAUGGUCUCUAUGACCUCAGAGGUGAGCUCUCUCCAUUGCUGAAAGUGUCCAAAGAGUUUACUCCUGCAUGGUUCUAUUUCAUGUAAGGUAUGAAUUUCUUCUGGCCUCUAAAAGACUAUCUAUAUUGUGAAUCUCCAAGUGAGAAACUUAGUACACUUUACAGUGAGUCCCACAUUGUUUUUGGAGUUCCCAAUAAUACCCACUGUUUUGUGGCACAUCACUUGGGAAAUACAGCUUUUAAGGGAUGCUAGCUUAGGAAGGGAGAUUAAAUGAUGGCUAACGUCUAUUCAUAUAUUCUAAGUCUGUCAUUCUAUGGUGCUCUGUGUGGGAGUGAAGAAUGAAAAGUCUUGUCCAGGAGCUAUGGAGUGGGCACAGAAAGCCAGGGCACCUGUUCCUUCAAGUAACUUAUGCUCUUUUGUUAGGGUGCUCGUGGUCUUAAGGAAAGUUUACAUCCUGAUGGACCAGAAAGACUAUAACUUAAGUAAAGACCCUGAGGAAAUAGGAGAGACAAGAGAAGGGUCUCUCAGAGGAUGCACUAUUAUCUUCCAUUUGCAGGGAGAUGGGUGUGGAUGAUGGAAGAGCACAGAGCCCCCAUCUCAGCAUUUCCUUAGGGGGCCCUGAGCUUCAGCAGAACCUUCCAAACACAGGCCCACACUAGGACUCCUUACCUACUUCCUUACACAUUCUGGCCAUACUUUUAGAAAUGACUCACUGAGUUCUACAAACAUAGUGUGUGCUCAGUAAAUACAGUGCUAACUGCUCACAGGGACCUAAGGCUAACUGUUGACAUAAGAAGAAAAAAUGAUUCAGUACUAUCUAAAUCAAUCUAGGCAACCCUUAGGUGGGACACUUAAGGUGGGCAUCCUCUCUGUGUCCCUUCCCCAGCCACCUGGGUCCCUCCUUUGUUGUCUGCAUCAAGUCCUUAAAACUUACUAUGUCAAAGAUUGAACACACCUGGGGGAAUUUGUGCCUUCUUUUAUGGUGACUAUGUUAGACUGACAAUUGUCCCCAGAUUUGUUCUUCCCCUCUUCCUCUUUAAUUUUUUUGUGGAUGGUUGGCUUCCUAGAAUCAAGACUAAAUUUCCCAGCCUCCCUUGCAGCUAAAUUAUGAUCAAUAGCUCACAAGGGAAAUUGCUACAUGCAACUUCAGAACUUAAAGAGAGGGCAGGGGCCCUUCUCCUCCUUUUCCUCAUUCCUGAACUAAAGCUGGAUGGUCUGGAGUAGACAAGGGAGUAGAAUCCAGAUGUUAAUGAAGAUAGAAUAAUAAAAUAGAAGACAGGCAGCGGAAAGGGCCUGAGUUCCUGAUGAUUGUUGAGGCAAAACUUUGGAUAUUUUAUCUUUAAAUUUUAAUUAUGUGUAAGAUAAAUAAAAGUCUACUUUUCAACUAAAAUGGAAGAGGGAUGUUUUGUCUGUUUUGCUCACUUAUUUUAUACCUAGUACUUAGAAUAGAUCCUUGCAUUCAGUAAUAUUUUAAAUAAAUCAAUCUUAUACAGUACAGAGACCUUGAGAAACCAUCUCCCACGCCUUUCAACAGAUAACAACAAAGCGAUUCUAUGCUGACCAGACUUCAUUUUUACAGAAGAUGAAAGGGAUCCUAUUUACCUGCUGUCAUAUUUACAUACAUGUGGACUUAUUACAAACCUACAUACAUGUGGGCAUAUUUACAGUGCUUGCCAUCUAACACUCUGGUUUAUAAAACAGAGCGUGUUGCAUGGCUAUUUAUUAUAAAUAUAGUAUUUAUACUCAUUCAGGUUUCAAAGUGGUCUGUUUUCCUCCUAGCAUACACAGCCCUACUGCACCCAGAACCUAGGCCAAAUAGGUCUAUUUCCUUACAAUUUUCCUCUAUGGGGUAUUUUUUGUAGAUUGGUUGGUUUUAUUUGGUUUCUAGCUCACCCCUUAACUGAAAAUGACACUUUUGGAAGUUUCAGCUUUAUGUAGGUGUCUGCUUCCAGCUCUCCCUUUCUAGGGGCUCAGAAACUUGUCAUCAGUGCCCUACACAUAAGUUCUUAAGAUCCAGACCCCAGGGCUCCAGGCAAGCCAUCGUCUUCAGCAUUUGGUUACCUCCGAUGACUGCAUUCCCAUAGUUUCUUUCUUUUUCUUUCUUUGUCUCUGUCUCUCUGCUUCUGAGAACUUUGCUCAUGAAUUCUUGCCCAUGCCACUAUCCACAUUUGAAAAAAAGAAAUAUUUUUUUUAAAGCUCUUCAUCCAGAAUUGUUAAUUUUCCAAACUGGGAGAGAGAGGUAGGAGUUUCUGCAAGCUAUCUAGUCUAUAAUAUCCUUGUGUCAUUUUUCAUAGUGAAAUUUAGCCUCACUAUACUUAUAAAAUAUGUACUUAAUUAUAAGAAUGGUUUCAUAAAUAUAGUUCCCCAAUGUGUUAUAAGAAUUUGUUUUCUGAAUAGUCUAAAGGCAUUGAACACAUCAUUUUUUUUCUUAGGCCUUUGUGGCAUCACAGGCUGACAGGGGAAUUCAGGGCAGGAGGAAGUCAGGAGACAUCAAUUAUUAUUAAUAUAAUCCUAGGGGACAUUAUAUCAGCUGUAAUCAUGGCUCACUUUUCUUUUGUAACAAGUGUCAAAAGGAGAGAACCUCCAGUUUUCUUUCUUCUAAUAAAGGUCAGAAUGAUAUUCUGUUAUGAACCAAAGGCAGGAUUUUUAUCUCUUAACAAAUGAAGCAAAUAAAAUGGAUUUGUCACUGUUAGUUCUCUUACCUCUGUGUUUCAUUUAAUUUUCUUCUGUCUGGGUCC